GCAGCGGAAUAAAUCAUUGAGGCGUAUGUAAGGGUUACUUCGACUUCUAAUCGGCUUGUCGUUGGUUCGAGUCCAACUCUCGCUGUA
Molecule: transfer RNA, 87 nt
Filed under: Cohnella abietis
Lineage: Bacteria; Bacillati; Bacillota; Bacilli; Caryophanales; Paenibacillaceae
Description: tRNA-Arg
Source: RNAcentral